RNAcentral lists this ribosomal RNA (253 nucleotides) under uncultured bacterium. RNAcentral's name for it is "partial 16S ribosomal RNA". It matches the Rfam family "Bacterial small subunit ribosomal RNA", at positions 524 to 776 of the family's 1533-position model. The record is from RNAcentral.
UACGUAGGGUGCAAGCGUUGUCCGGAAUUAUUGGGCGUAAAGAGCUCGUAGGCGGUCUGUCGCGUCGGCUGUGAAAACUCGGGGCUCAACUCCGAGCUUGCAGUCGAUACGGGCAGGCUAGAGUUCGGCAGGGGAGACUGGAAUUCCUGGUGUAGCGGUGAAAUGCGCAGAUAUCAGGAGGAACACCGGUGGCGAAGGCGGGUCUCUGGGCCGUAACUGACGCUGAGGAGCGAAAGCAUGGGGAGCGAACAGG